ACUUUAACGGUAGGGAUGUUUCGAGGUAUUUUUAAAAAUAUAAGGACUAAAUGAGCUUUUACCCUUUAUUUUUACCUCUAUUUUGAAAACCUCACAAUCGCCUCAAGCAGGAGGGUCUUCCAAUCCCAGUUGAUUGCAUCUGCAGUGAUUACAAAGCUCAUCUUCGAGUCUUUUGCAAUCUCUAUGGUUUUGACUUGGAGAUUUUCAAGCGCCUUCAAGUUCCAUUCAACCUCAGACGUGCUCCUCAUAUUCAUACUGUCCAUUAGCAAAGGAUAGCUCAAAAUGUCUCCCAAUGCGAUGUAAUUUUUUUAUUUCCUUAUCAAUUGCCAACCAACUCAAUUAAAGAGUUGUACAUUAAAAUAUGCUCCCAUUACUUAGAAUAAACUAGAAUAUAUAAACUAUUCACAAUCCAAGUAGACCUCAAUUUUGAAAUAUGAAGAAUAAAUAUAUAUGAAGUAAAAGCUUUUAAAAAUAUUGAAGAG
RNAcentral lists this long non-coding RNA (482 nucleotides) under Citrus x clementina. RNAcentral describes it as "Citrus clementina (C. clementina) long non-coding RNA (CCLE_LNC002616)". Lineage: Eukaryota; Viridiplantae; Streptophyta; Magnoliopsida; Sapindales; Rutaceae. The record is from RNAcentral.